GCGGCAGGCCUAACACAUGCAAGUCGAGCGCGCCCUUCGGGGUGAGCGGCGGACGGGUGAGUAACGCGUGGGAACGUGCCCUUUGCUGCGGAAUAGCCACUGGAAACGGUGAGUAAUACCGCAUGAGCCCUUCGGGGGAAAGAUUUAUCGGCAAGGGAUCGGCCCGCGUUGGAUUAGGUAGUUGGUGGGGUAAUGGCCUACCAAGCCGACGAUCCAUAGCUGGUUUCAGAGGAUGAUCAGCCACACUGGGACUGAGACACGGCCCAGACUCCUACGGGAGGCAGCAGUGGGGAAUCUUAGACAAUGGGCGCAAGCCUGAUCUAGCCAUGCCGCGUGAGUGACGAAGGCCCUAGGGUCGUAAAGCUCUUUCGCCUGUGAAGAUAAUGAUGGUAGCAGGUAAAGAAACCCCGGCUAACUCCGUGCCAGCAGCCGCGGUAAUACGGAGGGGGUUAGCGUUGUUCGGAAUUACUGGGCGUAAAGCGCGCGUAGGCGGACCAUCAAGUUGGGGGUGAAAUCCCGGGGCUCAACCCCGGAACU
This 537-nucleotide ribosomal RNA is filed under the name uncultured bacterium. RNAcentral's name for it is "bacterial SSU rRNA". It matches the Rfam family "Bacterial small subunit ribosomal RNA", at positions 39 to 622 of the family's 1533-position model. The record is from RNAcentral.